RNAcentral lists this ribosomal RNA (259 nucleotides) under Agrobacterium pusense. RNAcentral describes it as "partial 23S ribosomal RNA". It matches the Rfam family "Bacterial large subunit ribosomal RNA", at positions 1091 to 1344 of the family's 2925-position model. Lineage: Bacteria; Pseudomonadati; Pseudomonadota; Alphaproteobacteria; Hyphomicrobiales; Rhizobiaceae. The record is from RNAcentral.
AACCAGGAUGUUGGCUUAGAAGCAGCCAUCAUUUAAAGAAAGCGUAACAGCUCACUGGUCUAAAUAAGGGUCUUUGCGCCGAAAAUGUAACGGGGCUAAAGCCAUGCACCGAAGCUGAGGAUUUGCACUUUGUGCAAGUGGUAGCGGAGCGUUCCGUAAGUCUGUGAAGGCGGACCCGUGAGGGCUGCUGGAGAUAUCGGAAGUGCGAAUGUUGACAUGAGUAACGAUAAAGGGAGUGAGAGACUCCCUCGCCGAAAGA